GAACACCAAACAUCCAAACAGAACUAUUGCAUUCAAUUCCAUAUCAAAACAAAUCCAAAAAAUCUCAAAUAAAUUACACCUAAACAGGGUCUAUUCAAGGUAUGGCACACCAAAUUUCAGCUUAAUUGGGCAAAGGAAACCAUGUCAAUGAAAAUCAACAAAAACAGACACAAUUACAUGCUCCAAAUCACAACAUCAAC
Molecule: long non-coding RNA, 200 nt
Filed under: Lathyrus oleraceus (garden pea)
Lineage: Eukaryota; Viridiplantae; Streptophyta; Magnoliopsida; Fabales; Fabaceae
Description: Pisum sativum (pea) long non-coding RNA (PSAT_LNC011748)
Source: RNAcentral